GUGGUAAUGCCGGAUGCUCCAGUUGAUCGCAUGGUCUUCUGGGAAAGCUUUCGCGGUAUGGGAUGGGGUCGCGUCCUAUCAGCUUGACGGCGGGGUAACGGCCCACCGUGGCUUCGACGGGUAGCCGGCCUGAGAGGGCGACCGGCCACAUUGGGACUGAGAUACGGCCCAGACUCCUACGGGAGGCAGCAGUGGGGAAUAUUGCACAAUGGGCGCAAGCCUGAUGCAGCGACGCCGCGUGAGGGAUGGAGGCCUUCGGGUUGUAAACCUCUUUUAUCGGGGAGCAAGCGAGAGUGAGUUUACCCGUUGAAUAAGCACCGGCUAACUACGUGCCAGCAGCCGCGGUAAUACGUAGGGUGCAAGCGUUAUCCGGAAUUAUUGGGCGUAAAGGGCUCGUAGGCGGUUCGUCGCGUCCGGUGUGAAAGUCCAUCGCUUAACGGUGGAUCCGCGCCGGGUACGGGCGGGCUUGAGUGCGGUAGGGGAGACUGGAAUUCCCGGUGUAACGGUGGAAUGUGUAGAUAUCGAAGAAAACACC
This 535-nucleotide ribosomal RNA is filed under the name Bifidobacterium longum subsp. suillum. Its description in RNAcentral is "bacterial SSU rRNA". It matches the Rfam family "Bacterial small subunit ribosomal RNA", at positions 160 to 710 of the family's 1533-position model. Lineage: Bacteria; Bacillati; Actinomycetota; Actinomycetes; Bifidobacteriales; Bifidobacteriaceae. The record is from RNAcentral.